CCUACGGGUGGCUGCAGUGGGGAAUAUUGGACAAUGGGGGGAACCCUGAUCCAGCCAUGCCGCGUGUGUGAAGAAGGCCCUCGGGUUGUAAAGCACUUUCAGUGAGGAAGAACGCCUGGUGGUUAAUACCCAUCAGGAAAGACAUCACUCACAGAAGAAGCACCGGCUAACUCCGUGCCAGCAGCCGCGGUAAUACGGAGGGGGCGAGCGUUAAUCGGAAUUACUGGGCGUAAAGCGCGCGUAGGUGGCUUGAUAAGCCGGUUGUGAAAGCCCCGGGCUCAACCUGGGAACGGCAUCCGGAACUGUCAAGCUAGAGUGCAGGAGAGGAAGGUAGAAUUCCCGGUGUAGCGGUGAAAUGCGUAGAGAUCGGGAGGAAUACCAGUGGCGAAGGCGGCCUUCUGGACUGACACUGACACUGAGGUGCGAAAGCGUGGGUAGCAAACAGGAUUAGAUACCCUGGUAGUC
This 465-nucleotide ribosomal RNA is filed under the name Vreelandella stevensii. RNAcentral describes it as "partial 16S ribosomal RNA". It matches the Rfam family "Bacterial small subunit ribosomal RNA", at positions 338 to 795 of the family's 1533-position model. The record is from RNAcentral. Lineage: Bacteria; Pseudomonadati; Pseudomonadota; Gammaproteobacteria; Oceanospirillales; Halomonadaceae.